This 278-nucleotide long non-coding RNA is filed under the name Gossypium barbadense (sea-island cotton). RNAcentral describes it as "long non-coding RNA (GBAR_LNC001718)". The record is from RNAcentral. Lineage: Eukaryota; Viridiplantae; Streptophyta; Magnoliopsida; Malvales; Malvaceae.
AACUCUUCAUUGAUAGUUGAACAAAUUCGUCCUUAAGAAGGGAAAUCUCGUCCUUCAUCAUACUCCCUUAUCAAAGUCAUCACUCAUAUAACACCCCUAACCCGUAUCCGUUGUCAGAACAAGGUUAUGGAGCAUUACCGGAGUUUUCAAAUCAAACGGAUAUAAAUUUCAAACUUUCUAAAUCAUAUUAAUAAACACAUUGAAACCAAUUCAAAACAUACAUAUUGUCCCUUAAACGAGCCAUCGAGGCCCUAAUUACAUGUUAGAAACAAGUCGGG